RNAcentral lists this ribosomal RNA (625 nucleotides) under Aegagropilopsis sp. HB1207. Its description in RNAcentral is "eukaryotic LSU rRNA". It matches the Rfam family "Eukaryotic large subunit ribosomal RNA", at positions 24 to 666 of the family's 3401-position model. The record is from RNAcentral. Lineage: Eukaryota; Viridiplantae; Chlorophyta; Ulvophyceae; Cladophorales; Pithophoraceae.
UACCCCGCCGGAAAUUAAGCAUAUCAAUAAGCGGUGGAAAAGAAACCAACUGGGAUUCCCUUAGUAACGGCGAGCGAACAGGGAUGAGCCCACCAUGAAAAUCUCCAGCCUUUGGCUGGCGAAUUGUAGUCUGGAGAAGCACUCCCUGGGUGGGGUCUGGCCGAAGUAUACUGGAAGGUAUCGCUCGAGAGGGUGAGAGCCCCGUAGGCCAGCCCCCCCACCCUUCACGGGAUGUUUUCAGAGAGUCGGGUUGUUUGGGAAUGCAGCCCCAAUUGGGUGGUAAACCCCAUCUAAGGCUAAAUACCAAUGGGAGACCGAUAGCGAAAAAGUACCUCGAGGGAACGAUGAAAAGACCGCUGGCAAGCGAGUAAAAGAGUGCAUGAAAUUGUGUAGUGGGAAGGGAUGGCCCGGUCACAUGCGCUCGGGUUGAUGCAGCUCGUCAGAGCUGCUGUUUGCACCAAGCGCCUGCUGGUACCGGCGCGCCCGGCCGUACAACCCCCCGCUGAGGUGUGGGACACUGCGGUCGGGCGUGCCGAGGAACGAUCAGAGGCUCCGCCCCCUCGGGGAGCUGCCCUGACGAGGUACCAGCCAAGCCGGUCCAUCUGCCCGUCUUGAAAACACGGAA